AGCAGCCGCGGUAAUUCCAGCUCCAAUAGCGUAUAUUAAAGUUGUUGCAGUUAAAAAGCUCGUAGUUGAAUUUCGGGAUUCUACCGUCGGUCGGGCUAACAAGUCUGUACUGGUGUGUAGAAUUUCUACCUUCUGGGGAACCAUCAUGUUAUUAAUUUAGCGUGGUGGGAAACCAGGACCUUUACCUUGAAAAAAUUAGAGUGUUCAAAGCAGGCUUACGUCUGAAUACAUUAGCAUGGAAUAAUAGAAUAGGACGGUGGUCCUGUUUUGUUGGUUUCUGAAUCACCGUAAUGAUUAAUAGGGAUAGUUGGGGGCAUUAGUAUUCAAUUGUCAGAGGUGAAAUUCUUGGAUUUAUUGAAGACUAACUUCUGCGAAAGCAUUUGCCAAGGAUGUUUUCAUUAAUCAAGAACGAAAGUUAGGGGAUCGAAGACGAUCAGAUACCGUCGUAGUCUUAACCAUAAACUAUGCCGACUAGGGAUCGGACGAUGUUAACCUUUAUUGACUCGUUCGGCGCCUUACG
Molecule: ribosomal RNA, 520 nt
Filed under: uncultured Scutellospora
Lineage: Eukaryota; Fungi; Glomeromycota; Glomeromycetes; Diversisporales; Gigasporaceae
Description: SSU rRNA
Rfam family: Eukaryotic small subunit ribosomal RNA
Source: RNAcentral